CCUACGGGAGGCAGCAGUGGGGAAUCUUGCGCAAUGGGCGAAAGCCUGACGCAGCCAUGCCGCGUGAAUGAUGAAGGUCUUAGGAUUGUAAAAUUCUUUCACCGAGGACGAUAAUGACGGUACUCGGAGAAGAAGCCCCGGCUAACUUCGUGCCAGCAGCCGCGGUAAUACGAAGGGGGCUAGCGUUGCUCGGAAUUACUGGGCGUAAAGGGAGCGUAGGCGGAUAGUUUAGUCAGAGGUGAAAGCCCAGGGCUCAACCUUGGAAUUGCCUUUGAUACUGGCUAUCUUGAGUACGGAAGAGGUAUGUGGAACUCCGAGUGUAGAGGUGAAAUUCGUAGAUAUUCGGAAGAACACCAGUGGCGAAGGCGACAUACUGGUCCGUUACUGACGCUGAGGCUCGAAAGCGUGGGGAGCAAACAGGAUUAGAUACCCUGGUAGUCCACGCUGUAAACGAUGAGUGCUAGUUGUCGGCAUGCAUGCAUGUCGGUGACGCAGCUACGACAUAAGACACUCCGCCGUCGGGGAGGUACGGUCGCGAGAAGUUAAACUAACAAUAGUAAGUUACGGUCGUGAGACGUGCCGACGGACGACGACGAGGGAGGAGG
RNAcentral lists this ribosomal RNA (605 nucleotides) under uncultured bacterium. RNAcentral describes it as "bacterial SSU rRNA". The stretch from base 1 to 517 matches the Rfam family "Bacterial small subunit ribosomal RNA", at positions 338 to 873 of the family's 1533-position model. The record is from RNAcentral.